Ruditapes philippinarum (Manila clam) is the source of this 1024-nucleotide long non-coding RNA. RefSeq lists it as uncharacterized. The record is from RefSeq and is a predicted model, not a curated record. The transcript has 7 exons. Lineage: Eukaryota; Metazoa; Mollusca; Bivalvia; Venerida; Veneridae.
UACUGCUAAUAUAGGAAGCUUACCGGGAACAUUUAUUCGAUGGCAUAGAACAUCAGAAACUUCCUAAAAUGAUGACUUUAUUGGCUAUCAACCACCACAAGGUUCUGUGGAUGAAGGCACAGCUAAUAGUGACAACCAGUGUGGAUAUACACGAGAAGCUUCAAUCAGAUACAACACAACAGCAGCUGAUGCUAAUAGAGAUAACAAUCUGGCUUUUGAAUGUUACGUUUUAGUUUUCGGAGAUCCGUAUCCGGGGAACACUUAUAUCUCUGAAAACAAUCCGAGAUUUUAUACUGACGUCAAUAACCCUAGUUAUGGAGAUACAGAUAGUACAACAGAUGGAAACGAGAUAAGUAUAACAGCAGGAGCUAUCGCCGCGAUUGUCAUUGCCUCACUCAUUGUUGGUGUUCUAAUCGGUGCGGUUUUUACAUGGGUUGUUUUAAAUAGAAAACGGACAGUAACAGGUCUGAAGAAUCAAAAUCAACAUCAGCCAACAUCAGUGUCACGCGGCACAGAAUUAAAUGGUUCGUCACUUUCACCAAAUACCUACGAACAAUUUCAAAAUAGAACAGAAACUGAAAGCAGGAUGGCUUAUGAUUCUCUAAAUGCUGCUUCAGCAAAUUCCAGCACAGUACCAGACAGCCAAUCACAGUAUGAGAGUCUUAAACAUGGAGGAGGAGGGACAUCUCACACUUACGCAGGUCUAAAUAACAACCAAUAAAAUUUGAAAGAUCUACCUCGGCUGUUUGGACUACUCACCUUGCCAUAUAUGCUCUAGAUUUAAAUUUUGGACACAAUCUUUAAUUGUCUUUAAUUUUUAGAUUUAUUCGUACACACAAUGAACAUUAUAAAGGGAUUUGAUUUUUCAGGAGAUUACUCCGAGCAAAUGAAGUUAUUCGAGCAAUCCUAGUUCGACCAAACGGAGUCUAGUUGUAGUUGUGUAGAUAUGACAGGGAAAAUCAAAUGUGUUGUCAUCUGUUACCUUAUCAAUUUGAUAACCAGGCUUUAUUAAGAAGAAAUUUUU